Alnus glutinosa is the source of this 134-nucleotide small nucleolar RNA. RefSeq annotates it as small nucleolar RNA snoR74. The record is from RefSeq and is a predicted model, not a curated record. Lineage: Eukaryota; Viridiplantae; Streptophyta; Magnoliopsida; Fagales; Betulaceae. The transcript has a single exon.
UAAAAAGCAGUGCCCUUUUGCCCUUUUGUGAAGAGGGCUCUCGUAAAUUUCAGGAAAAUUACAGCUUGCAUUAUUUUUGGGUGAACCUCUGUACUUGUUUGUGACUUGAAGGUUCAGUAAAUGAUGCCACAUCG